RNAcentral lists this long non-coding RNA (11063 nucleotides) under Homo sapiens (human). RNAcentral's name for it is "HSALNT0074981". Lineage: Eukaryota; Metazoa; Chordata; Mammalia; Primates; Hominidae. The record is from RNAcentral.
UCUCGAUCUCCUGACCUCGUGAUCCACCUACCUUGGCCUCCCAAAGUGCUGGGAUUACAGGCGUGAGCCACUGCGCCCGGCCAGAGGCAGGUCUUAAAACUAGCAACUGGGUGAGAAAUCAGUGGGGAGGGUAGGCUUUGACAAAGUAAGAGAUAAAGAGUCUGCUUUCAUAUUUUAGAAAAACCCAGGGAAUGCUGAAAAGCCCAUAGGAAAGAAGAAAUAUGCUGUCAAGAUGUUAGUGAGCCAAGGCCCAGGAGUUUGCUCUCAAAAACAGAUGAGAAACUGGACUUAAAAUCUGACUGGGAGAAAGUACUUUAGGCAAAACAAACUACUCAUAUACAAAAGGAUGGGCUCUGAAGCAGAGAGUGAAGGCAAUAGCUUCAAGAUCGGUGGAUUUAAAACCUAGAAGUAUCUUCUCUAAAAGAUAAAAGAUUAAGAAAGGCUUUAAGAUAGCUAGAGCAGGAAUAAAGUAGUCAAGUGAAUGUGAUACCACAAGGUUCCAGAAGUUUCCAUACUAAUAGAAACAGAUACUAAGUGAAGUUUGAGGGGCCCUCACAAUCUGGAUAGAAAACUCUUCAAGUAGAUCUCAACCUUCAGGCUGGAAUAUCUUUGCUUAGCUAUCCCAGCCAGAGGACCAUAGUGGUUGAUUUCAAAAGGAGUUGCAAUUAUUCUAUCUUGUAAAUUCUCUCAUUGUUAAGUUUUGUCACAGUUUGUUGUUGCUACUUUCUUUCAGUUACCUAGAAAAUGUUUUCUCUGAAAACCUCUAUCCAUGCCUCAACAGAUCGGAGAUAAAAAAGGAAUCAUCUUACAAGAUUAUCAAGAAAGAUAAUGGGCUAGGUGUAUCCUUAAAAGGUCAUUCAAAUGAAAUAUUAAAAUUCUUACUUUUCUGUGUUAUUCGGACAUGGAAUAACAAUAACAGUUAAUGUUUAUUUGGUGCUUACUCUGUAUUUGGUACCAUUUCAAGAGUUUUAUAUGCAUUAUUUGAUCUUAAAAAACAACUCUUUGAGGAAGUUACUACUGUCUCCAUUUUAUCAGUGAAUGAACAGAGAUAGGAAGUCUGGCUCCAAAGCCCACACUCUUAACUAUUAUGCAAUAUUAGUUGUCAAAUGUCUUGAAAAAAAAAUCUGUGUAAUUACUAAAAUAUUACGCUGGGCUACUUAUUAAGGUAAAAUUACGUUUCAAAAAAAUUAAUCCUUUCCAAAUGCAAUGUUAACUAUUCAUGAUGAAAUAUCAGAACUAUCUCUAAUACCAAUAUUUUUAUUGGAAUAAAAUAGGAGGUUAAAGGAAAUGUUUAUAUAUAUAAAUGUGUGUAUAUAUAUGUAUAUACAUAUAUAUAUACUAUGCACACACACACAUACAUAUCUAUGUGUAUAUAUAUGAUUUUUUGCAAGGGCAAAAACCAGAUUUUUUUUAAACACAUAAUCAUUAAAUCUGCAAAUAUCAAGUUUAUCAAUUUUUUGUUACAGGAAAAAAUAGUUUAUUAUAAAUUCAAUGCAUAGCAUUUUCUGGUUUAGACCUUUCCAUUAUUGUUCUGACAGAACAAAGACUAUGAGGUUGUCAGAAAUAAAUUGUUCAUUUUGUUUCCUAAAUAUGUGGCAAAGACAUUGUAUGUUUUUUGUUUGUUUGCUUGUUUGUUUGUUUUAGAAUAGUUUGAAAUGUCUUCAAACCUUUUGACCAACCAAGAAAGCUUUUGCCUGGGCACAGGCUUUAUCUUUCUUAGCAUUACACUAGAGAUACUAAUCCCUCCCAACAAUUUCAUUAUGAUUAUCGCAAUAAAAUAUAACGAUCCAUUAAGUCCAUGGGGCAGAUGUUUAUUUAUUUAUAACCAUGCCUUAUUCCACAGAGAAUUUAAAGAGGAAUAAAAGAUUAUUUCCUCAUUGCAUCAAAUGAAUAUCUUUUAUUUUGUCUAAUGUUGUAUUUCUUUUUCUUUAAUUGGCACUAAAUGUUUAUUUGCAUUCUUUUAAUUACUUUUAAGGCAUCCAUUAUUUCUGGAUUACAUUACUGAACUCUCAAUAAAUCAAUACAUAGUUCUGUAUAUAAUUUUUUCAACAUUUUUUCCUUCUUUAAUUUGGUUCAUUUGUAUCUCCCUUUGCUGUUUAUUGAGUAGAAAUUCUGAUUUUUGUAGCAAAGGGAGAACAAACAAACAACACACAGAAUAUUCUGUAUUUAAUGCUGCAAUUGUCUCUAUGGUUGCAAUGUGUAGGUGGGGUGCAUUCAAGUGGGCUUGUGGUAUUUGUGUGUGUGUGUGUGUGUAUGUGUGUGUGUGUGUUGGAAGAAUAUAUAUUGAGGAUGAUUCCUAAUUUUAUCACUUUGUUGAGGAACUGAAAUUGUGGCUACACAUUCACUCUAAAUAUUUUGUCUCACAGUCCCCUCCCUUCAACAAUUAUAUACAGUACACUAUUUGUUGGAAGCUCAGGAGAAAAAGGGCAUUUAAGAGCAUGAGAUUUGGUGGCAGACUGACCUAAUAGUAGAUGGUACCAGUGAGAUCUUGAGCAACGUAAAUGUUUCAACUGAAAAACGAAAACCUUUUUUUGGAAAGAAUCGAAACUAAAAACCCAACUAUUUAAAAAAUGGAAACUUUUGGCCGGGAACGGAGGCUCACACCUAUAAUCUCAGCACUUUGGGAGGCCGAAUGGGCGGAUCACAAGGUCAAGAGAUUGAGACCAUCCUGGCCAACGUGGUGAAACUCCGUCUCUACUAAAAAUACAAAAGUUAGCUGGGCAUGGUGGCACAUGCCUGUAGUCCCAGCUACUCGGGAGGCUGAGGCAGAAGAAUCGCUGGAACCCAGGAGGCGGAGGUUGCAGUGAGCCGAGACAGCACCACUGCACUCCAGACUGGCGACAGAGUGAGACUCCAUCUAAAAAAAAAAAAAAGGAACCUUUUGCCUUACUUCGUUUGCUAGCUACAUUCAAGUCUGCAAUUAAGCUCGGUGUUUUGCCUUUCUCAAACUGUGCACAGGUCCUCUUGUUUGUUCCCCUUCUCUCUGUUGCCUAGGAAUACAGCCAAAAACUUGAGUAAUAGAUGAUAGAUGGGUCUGUCACUAAGCACAUCCUAGUGACAUAGAUAAGAAGCAAAUGCUACAAAAUUAUAGGUGCAAACUACAAGUUGUGUUUUAAUUGGUUUUAACAAGUACUUAUAAGCAGAAGAACUGUGAAAAAUCUAACAUUUUGUCCUACUUGCAAGCCUGCCAGUCUUUUGAGUGCUGGGCAAAGACACAAUAGUGCUGGGUCAGAGACAAUUAACUUUACUACUCACAUUAAUAGCAUUAGCAAGAGUAUCAUGAUUUUCUUGCACUGAUUCCUCAAGCCGCAAUUCCCACAGAAAAGCUCAGGUGACACCUACAUGCUCAGUGGGUUGCAUUAGAAAAGAGGAACGCAGAGCUCAGGAAACAUGGAUAUUUUAUAAUGGCCAGUAAAGAUGUCCCUUUGCUUUAGAAAGAGGCACUACCUCUAUCCAAGGCUGCAAGCACACCUGCCUUUUGUUUUAGAAGGAGAAAUGAUUUCUAUCUUCCAAGGCUGUUCACUAUAUGAAAAGACAGUCCCAAACAAAAGGCAGUUACUGACUUGCUUGAAAAAUGUGCAGAAAUGAUACGCUGCUUGAAUGUGGACAGCUGACACAGGGACAAGGAGUAAAAAUGAUUAGGUUUUGAGCUUGACCAACUAGGAAGAUAAUUAUUAGCAGUAGAGAAAAAAAGAACAAAGUAGAUUUUAGGGCAGAUAAGCCAUUUUUUAGGUAGGUUGAGUCUGAGAUGCCUCCAUAAAUAUAAGUUGAAAAUAUGAGAUUGGAGUUGAGACUUCAGAAAUACAUAUUUUGAGUAGUUACACUACAGAGGUAAGUCAUCAGAGUUCAUAAAAUUAAAGUGAGAAAAAGAGGCAAGUGAAGAAAAACAAGAUGGCAUUGCAUGAAGAACUUUCUUAGGAAGGAAGGCAGCAAAGAGGUAAAAUUGGAGGUGUAGUCAGAGAUGGAAGAUGAAAAAGGAAAAUAACAAUAUUUCAGAAAUGAAAUGAAAAAGGUCUUUUACUAAGUAAUUGGUACUACUACUUGUCAGUUUCAAGUGCUGUAAAAAAAAUGGGAAGAACCACACAUGUGCACUUUCAGUACUAUGUAUUUUAUGCUUCAGGGAUGCAUACCUGUUUAACAAAAGUAUGUUUUUUCUCAAAGUGUGUUGAAUAGUCCAGAAAAAGAUGGAGGUAGAAGUCAGACUUCAGGAGAUAAAGGAACCAGAAAGAUCAUUGAAGGCUGUGAUGGUAGAAAACAUUUUGACAAAGAGUUGUGCAAUGAGAAAGCUAGGGGUGGGACAAUUAAUUUUGAGGGUAACAAUUGGGGAUUUGAGUAGAUUUUUUGCUUCUGUUCUUUAAUUGUUUUGUCUUCUUUUUAAAGAAACCAAGAGACUGUUAAUGUAGUAGGAGCAGAGUUUCACAAUACAGAGCAGAGAGGGUGUUGGUUGAUAAAGAAUUGUCUCAAAUGAGAGGAAAAGAAUGGAGCCAAUAACAGAGAUGAUGUUUAAUUUGGGAAAGGUGGGACAUGUUAACAUGAGUCCAGAGAACUAAAAUGAGCUUAUGGCAUGCAGAUGCUGAAGAUGAAGAAAGGAAAGGAAGGAAAAGGAGGAAUUUAUAUUUAUUUAUUGAAUAAUCUUGUAAAACUGUUAAUCACCCCUUUUUACUGACGAUAAGACAUAAAUGUCAGAGGUGUUUUGCCUAAAGUAAAAAAUUCGAUAGUCAAGCUGGGUUUAAAACCAUAUCAGUCUUACGUCAAAGCAUGUUUUAAUUGCUGUUGUGUGGUUGUGAUUUUAAGGGAAGAAGAAGAGUUUUAUAAUGGGUUCUCUGAAAAAUAAAAUAUCAAUUAGAAAGAAACAAAACAACUGCUGAGAAGCAGUGAAUCCAAGCAGAAUCUGAGUAUCAUCACUUUUUAGUUAAACUAACCAGUCCAAUAUCCUGAUUUUUCUUUAACAGGCAAAGAAUUUUUGAGUCUUUCCCAUAGACUGAGUUCUUGUGAACUAUUUUACAGCAAUAAUGGCAUCCAAUCCUAUAGAUAACAAUAACAAAGCUGCAGACCAUUUUGUUGCCAGGUUUCUCCUCCAGGGUGGCUUUCCAGCUAGUUUGUAAACAAAUAACUCAGGUGGCCCUGUCAUGUUACAUUAACUAAAAACCAAGUCUAAAGCACACAUAUAAUAACAUAUGUGUGUGCAAACUGGCUUGCUUUCAAAUUCCUAAAUCAUACAAUUAAAUUUUAAAAAUAACUGUAUUUGGAAACAAGAAAAAAGUCACUUUGACACCCAACUGAUGUAUAUAAAGGAGACUGUGCAUAUGGGUUUUAAAAUGAGAUGAAAAUUGAAAUUUGAUCUUUGAGAUUAAAAACAAUGUUAUGUAAAUCUAUUUUUAUUUAAUUUUUCUGAAAAAUAUUGUAUUUGCUUUAUACCCUCUUGCUAUACAAACUUAUAUUGUUUUGCUUACCCUCUUUUUUUAUUCCUCCUACUUUUUCUUAAUUUUGAUAUCUCUGAAUUUAAAGUCUAGAGAAUGAUUCAUCUUCACUAGUUCUAUCUUUUCCAGUGCUAGUAUUUUUGUUUUUGAGCUGUGGUUUCCCUAUCCCAUUUUUGAGAUCUCAAACUAUAAUUUGGUGUCGAGUACCCAGGUAUCUUAUCUUUAAAGUGAAGACGUAGGCAGCACAAAGGUGCUUUUAUUAGAACGUCCACUAGAUCAGAAUGACCAGUGCACAAAAUUUAUUUUCCUAGCAGACUCACCAAAUUUAACCUGGAAGAGAAUGUCUGACUCUGUUGAAUUUUCUUAGGCAAAUACAAUAUUUGAAAGUCACUGAAUGUUUCAAACAAAAUAUAACAACAUUCAGAUAACAGAACUGUGUUAUUGUUCUCAUGUGUUUAUGCCCAGAAAAUAAGCAGACUGGAGCUUCUCUAAGAUUAAAAGUCAAAACAGUAUUACAAUUCCAGCCCAGAUUUGACUAUCUAAUCAUUUAAACCUUAGUAUCAUCAUCAUCACCACCGUCACUGCAUACUCAUUAAGUUAAAAAAAAUUCCUUUAAAAUAAAUGGAAAAGAAAAUAUCUGUGUAAAUAGAUUAAAGCGAUUCCUGCUCACCACUCCCUUUCUCCCUGGGGCAGGAGACUUGAGCACAUCAAAGGAACUCAUAGCGUUCUUGGAGUAAGUGUGAAAGCCACCGUGAUGAACUAAAUGAAUGCUUACAUCUAAAGAAAGAUGUAAACAUAUUACAUUAAAAGGUGGCAUGACAUAAUGGUAUAUCACUGAUUAAGAAAUGUGAGGCGACUUUCAUGUGCCACUGAUAAAUCAUUAUAAUUUGACAUAGUAGAUAAUGCCCCUAUAUUUCAUCUGCAUACCUGGAAAAUGAGGACUUUCAAAACAUAUUCCUGCCAGUUACAGUCAGGUAUUGCAAAACAAGCAUUUAGUGAGCAUCUAAACUGAAGCUUAGAACUUCAGUUUUGUGGCGGGGCGCGGUGGCUCACGCCUGUAAUCCCAGCACCUUGGGAGGCCAAGACAGGCGGAUCACUUGAGGUCAGGAGUUUGGGACCAGCCUGGCCCACAUGGUGAAACCCCAUCUCUACUAAAAAUACAAAAAUUAGCCAGGCAUGGUUGCACGCACCUGUAGUCCCAGUUACUCAGGUGGCUGAGGCAGAAGAAUCGCUUGAACCUGGGUGGUGGAGAUUGCAGUGAGCUGAGAUCCUGCCACUGCACUCCAGCCUGGGCAAGAGAGUGAGACUCCAUCUCAAAAAAAUAAAGAACUCCAAUUUUAUUUUCUUCAUGGCAUAGCAUAAUAGAUGAGUUAACAAAUUAAUGAAACAGAUUGACAUGUGUUAAUUGCAAUCAUAUACAGAACAGAAAUCAUUUCCAUAAAAUAUUUAACCUGCCUGUUACUUCCCCUAAAUCUCUCUGUAGCUGAUGCCCCAAUUUCACUAUUAGCUCUUCAGACUUGGAUGUUAAGCACUGUGCCUUCCCCUGGACCUCUCUUUAAAUGUCACAGCUAUUUCUGGCAGGUAAGACUAUUGCUUUGGUUAGUGUGAACACACACCACUGUGGAUCACAAGGCACCUGAGAGAAAAGGCUGCCGAAAGCAGGAAAAUAACUCAGAAAAAAGAAAAAAAAACACAUGGUGCUGAAAAAUACAACAGAUAUGCAUUUGUAUACUUAUGAUCUAAUUUAUGUCAGUCAUUAAAAGAAAAUAAGGUGUUUAGAAAAUACAGUGCUGUCUAUGGUUAUAUUUAAUAUUGUGACCACUUAAUACAAAGCAAAGCAUUCUUGCUUGCUCUCAUGGAGAGUGCAAUUUAGAAUUGAGAGCUCAAUUUCUAAGGAGGGUUUAUGUACUCUAUCUUGAGGCACACCAAGGAGAUUGAGUUUACCAGUUUAGAAAGCACUGCCAUAAUUCAAGUCAGGGAGAGGGCUGAUGGAAGAUUUUUAAAAGAUUUUAAAAGAUCAUGAGGGCAAGCUGGCUUUUAACAAAACAAAAUAUUUCCAUGUGGCUUCUGGCUGACUGAAUUAAUAAGGCCCAGAGACUGAUCUGAAGGCAAAAGCCUUUAUUUUUUAUUGCAAUGGAGAAAAACUGAACAUUAUUUGACUAUCAGUUGUGAAGUUUAGUAAAAAGAUUUUCACUAAUGGGUGGUUUUAAUAUUUAUGAAUGUGAUGGUUCAGCAAAUUUUCUCCAAUGUUUUGCAAGACCACUAAUUAAUAAUCAUCUUUACAAAUGGAACAUGUAAUUGUCUGCUACUAUUUUUUCUUUGCCAAUGCUUAAUACUUAUUUUGAAUACGUUUUAUUUUUUUUCUAAAUUUCUCUAUUUAUUUCUACCUGAGCAUUUCUUAAUUUUUUUAUUCAGUCCUGUUAUUCUCACUGUAGGAUUUUUAAAAGCUGGUAUAUUAUAUUAAAAUCCUUCAACUGUGAAUUCAGCAAUGUUUUGAGUUCCAGGGAUUCAUCUGGCAUUAGGCUGACCUUGUCAAGCAUAAACAUCAACAUUAAAGAAAAUAUUUAAGAAAUGAAAGGCCUGAAUCAAAAUAAGAGGUCAAAUUUUCCAGGGUGUUUUGUGUCUUGAAAAUCUUUCUGCUGUAAUUACCUAAAGACUGUGGUUAGAUAAUUAUUGAGGGACUUUUGCAAUUGUCCCUUUUCUCUAUAUAGAUCACCACAUUAAUUAAACGAGAGUCUCACUGGGAACAGGUUGCUGUUCUGCAUCUUUAAGUAUUUUUAGUACUUUAUUUUCAAAAGAGAAAAAGAACCACUAAGAAGAAGAUUGCUUCUCAGCCAAAUUUUCUGAUAUACAGAUAUUCUCAAAAGACAAGCACACACACACACGCACACACACACACACACACACACACACACACCCCCCAAGGCUCUGGAAUGUGCCUUAACAAUCUUAUUUUUGCACAUUUUAAAAGGAGGUCAUUAUGAAAUUUGCACAUAUUUUAUGACCUGUAAUGUACUUCUCUGAUCUGAUUUCACUUGAGCUAAUAAAAAAAUACAAAUCAGGUGCUUGCUGUGAUCAAGAUGCUAAAGUUAUAUUUACACUGCUUCAUAAAUGUAAGGUGUUAAAGCUUAGUGAGACAAGAAGUAAACUGAUAAUUGAUUAACCAGGGUGCUAUACAAAUCUACCUAGAGGGUGCCUUCCCAGGUUAAUGCAAUUAUGGGAGAAAGAUCCUGGCUCCUGGCUACAGAAAUGCCAACUAAAGUGUUAUCCACCCCAUCCUUCACUUUGGAGGAUGCGUUAAGAUGACACUGUGCUGUGUCAAAAUGAAAAUACAAACAAAAGCAAAUAAACCGAGUGAUAAUAAAUAAACCGAGUGACUCAGUUUCCUUAUCCAUUUUCCAGUUACCUUUUUUUUUUUAGGCCAGUCUGCAUGUCCACUAGAAGAAAAGGGACCUGGGUUCUUCAUCAGCCCAUCCUUAGAUCUUAGUGCACAUAUGCACCUAGUAAGUGCCGAGCAAAUAUUCAAUGAAUGACUGUACCUUUCCUAAGAAUUCUUCGUUGAUUAUCCUUCAACAGAGCUAACUUCUCUCCCUAUGUGCUCAGUCAAAUGCUCUCCCAUUGGACUGAGUUCAGCAUAAACUGCCAUGUUUUGAGAUGAUUGGUGUAAGCGAAUGUCCUCUCCUGAGUUGCGAGAAUCUAAGAGCAGGACAACAUCACAUGCUUCUCUACUUUCUAUAGUUCUUUUGUCCACUGUCUAACAAAUAAUGCCAAGUGAAAAAGGGAAAAAUGAAUGAAUAAAUUUUGUAAGAUGCCAAUGGAAAAAAACAGAAAAUCAAGAGUUACUAAAAAAAACCACUAACUCCAUUUAAUUGUUUUAGACUAAGAAUCCCUCAGUGAUACCUAGCCAAAAUUAGGAUUCAGAUCCAAAAUAAAAGAUACUGUUGCCCCAAGUAGAUAUCAUAAUUUGUUACAAUAAGUAAAAAUGUAUAUUAUUCAAUACUAAACUGUUAUACCACAUUUCAAGUUUUUAAAACUUUAUCUUCCUUUUAUGCAUAGAUAGUAGUAGAGCAUUAAGAACAUGCAUGGCUAUCACCUGAGGUGUUGAUUGUAAAUUCACAUUCCUAGGCUUUGUCUCUUAACUACUGAAUCGGAAUCUUUGGGAGUGAACUGACAGGAAUCUGAAUUUUAAAAAUAAGGUCUUCAGGUGAUUCUCAUGCAUCUAAAGAUAACUGCUUUAAUAUAUAACAAAGAAACCCAAAGAGGGACACUUGAGGAUUUUUUCAAUAUAUCUUCUUUUGCAGAGAUUAAUAGUGAAUGUUGUUUUAUCUGCUGUUUAGAAUUUUACAUAUGCAUUGGAUGAUACAUCUUCUUUUACUGACAAAAAGGCUUUUCUCUGGAGAAAAUAAAAAGGCAGCUUUCCCUGAGAGCACACACUUCUAGCAAAGCCCCAAUCCAUAUGACUCUAAGACAGAGUGAUUUCCACCUUCUAGUCCUUACUUUCUUGCAAAAGGGGCUUUCAAAUCUCAUUACUGAUGGUCCCAUCUUUUAUUACUGGUGUUAUCAAUGGGAUGCUUGCAGCAGCUUAAGUAUGUGGAUAAAGAAGGAAUGCACAAUAUACGGUACUGAAUAUUUUUAAAAAGUGGUCUUUCAGAAUGUCUGUAUGUGUGGGGGCCCAUGCUUAGGCAUAUGUGCAUGCCAGUGUGUUAUUUAUGUUGAAACCAAUGUUUUACAUUAAUGGCUGGAAUUCCAGAAAAAUAAGAAAAUAUUUGUAUUUUCUAAACCAUUAAAAGUUUAGUGGAACUCAUUAAUAGUCUGUAUCAUCUCUCUGUAUAUUUCAGAAGUACAUUUUAAGUGUAACAGCUAGGGGUAAACUUUCAUAACUGUAUGAUUUGAACACAAGUACAAGAAAUAUUCAAGGUUUUCUUUUCUUUUUUUUUUUUAGAUGAAGUCUCACUCUUAUCGCCGUAGCUAUAGUGCAAUGGCGCUGUCUCAGCUCACUGCAACCUCCGCCUCCUAGGUUAAAGCAAUUCUCCUGCCUCAGCCUCCGUAGUAGCUGGGAUUACAGGAUCCUGCCACCACACCCACUAAUUUUUGUAUUUUUGGUAGAGAAUGGGUUUCACCAUGUUGGACAGGCUGGUCAUGAACUCCUGACCUCAGUCGAUCCACCCGCCUUGGCCUCCCAAAGUGCUGGAUUACAGGUGUCCACCGCGCCUGGCCAAUAUUCAAGUUUACACAGGAAAAAGAAUACUUUCUCUGCAUAACCUUUACUUAUUUACUCAUAAGCCUCUAGUUCUCUCUGGAUUUGACUGUAAAUCUCAACACAUUUCCCAGAAACUAACAUCUUCUGGCUGACUUCUAUUAAAAAUUCAGACAAAGAAAAAAACUGAAUACAAUGGAGAGAGAUUAUAAUACUGCUAUUCUCCCAUUCUCUCUCUCUACAGCAUAUCACCUCCUCCAAAAUCAGUUCAUAUCUAACUCCUAGCACAUUUUUAGUUAAAAAUAUACAUGCACAAAAUAUAUGUGUAAAUACACAUGCUGAUAUCACACAUAUGUGUGUGUGUGUGUGUAUAUAUAUAUACACAAAAGCAGAUAUAUAUAUAUAUAUAUAUAUACACAAAAGCAGAUAUAUAUAUAUGCUUUCUU